This is a long non-coding RNA of Sarcophilus harrisii (Tasmanian devil), 1284 nucleotides long. RefSeq lists it as uncharacterized. The record is from RefSeq and is a predicted model, not a curated record. The transcript has 2 exons. NCBI's taxonomy places the organism in Eukaryota, Metazoa, Chordata, Mammalia, Dasyuromorphia, Dasyuridae.
UCAUGUGCUGAGGAAACAAAGGAAAAUCGUGUCAGCAAAGGUCCAGAUACUCAGGCUAAUCCAGCAAGCAUCGGAUACAUAGCCGGCCCUGGACUGGUAGCAGCGAGAAAGUGACCAACCUAAACCACCCAGACAAGGAGUUAAAAUUCCACCAGUGGAAAGGAGAGAGCUACAGAGAGCACGAAGCAUCGGGGGGCACCUGAGCUGAGCCUUGAGCUUCCUCCUGUGCCACGGGAACAGCCUCCUGGCUCACUGACUGCCCCUCCCUCAUUUUUAGAGAAUCCUAGGAUCUCAGCAAUGAAAAGCAUCAGAACGUACCUCCCUCCAGCACCAGCCAGUCAGCCCAGAGUUACCAGAAGAACCCUCCAAAGCCACUUGCUUCACAUGACCCUUCUUAGGAGACUAUAGGGCUCCCUACUGUCUUGUGAACCCGAUAUUGACUCCCUAACUGACAACCCCUUUUCCAUUUUUUCUCAGUUUUUUUUCUCUCAAGUGCAGAAUUGUGGAUCCAGAAAAUUGUCGAUUCAAAGGCCUUCCUGAAAAGGCAGGGGGAUGGACAAAACGAAGUUGGGUUUUUGCAGGUCAUAAAAUGCCAUCACAAUCACAGAAAGAGUAAUAGGAAAAUACCCAGAAGAUCACAGGCUAUAAAUUCUAAGAAAGGAACCAGGAAUCAAAAUCCUAGUGGCACUAGUUAGCUGGCAAGCAAGACAAACCAGAGCUUUAUAUGCAAAGAAGCAAAUUUAACUUCCUAAGCAUCAUUGAGACUUAAUGCAAUGAGACCCAUAAUUGUAAUGGAGUCUAGAAAUGAUAGCUAAUUCAUAAGAAACGCAGUGGUAAAAGUUCAUGGUCAGUGGAGCAAGAAAUAUCUUAUGAAGAUAUAAUCAGGUGCAGAAAUCUAGGAAACACGGGACUAAAUAAAGCGUAAGGGAAAGCAUUUGGAUUAAAAAGCAGUGGAGAUAAACAGAAACAAGACUAUAAACAGAGUGUGCUACAGACCACCUGGACAGAAAGAAGAAAUAGAUGAGCAGACAUAAAGGAUGCUGACAUAAUACCAAAUGGAGUAGAGGGGUCCCUGGCGCAAAGAGAAAACUAGCUGGCCAAUCCCGAGAGUUUCGAGGCAUCUGAAUUCAGGUGCUGGCUUAUGUGAUUCUGGCUGCCCCCCAAACGAUCUGCUAGGCGGCAUUAGAACAGACCUGCAGAAUUAUGGGUAUAUAUGUUACCUUCAAGCUGGAGCGAAAAGUCAUAACUGGAAAGUAAGCACUAAUAAAUUCAAUUGUGAAGAUC